RNAcentral lists this ribosomal RNA (427 nucleotides) under uncultured Conexibacter sp. RNAcentral's name for it is "bacterial SSU rRNA". It matches the Rfam family "Bacterial small subunit ribosomal RNA", at positions 355 to 774 of the family's 1533-position model. Lineage: Bacteria; Bacillati; Actinomycetota; Thermoleophilia; Solirubrobacterales; Conexibacteraceae. The record is from RNAcentral.
UGGGGAAUCUUGCACAAUGCGCGAAAGCGUGAUGCAGCAACGCCGCGUGGGGGAAGACGGCCUUCGGGUUGUAAACCCCUUUCAGUUGGGACGAAGCUUUGCCGGUUAAUAGCCGGUUGGAGUGACGGUACCUUCAGAAGAAGCCCCGGCUAACUACGUGCCAGCAGCCGCGGUAAUACGUAGGGGGCAAGCGUUGUCCGGAAUCAUUGGGCGUAAAGCGCGUGUAGGCGGCUCGAUAAGUCUGCUGUGAAAGUCCAAGGCUCAACCUUGGGAUGCCGGUGGAUACUGUCGAGCUCGAGUCCGGAAGAGGAGUGUGGAAUUCCUGGUGUAGCGGUGAAAUGCGCAGAUAUCAGGAGGAACACCAAUGGCGAAGGCAGCACUCUGGGACGUGACUGACGCUGAGACGCGAAAGCGUGGGGAGCAAACA